CGGGACGGGUGAGUAAUGCUUGGGAAUCUGGCUUAUGGAGGGGGAUAACUACGGGAAACUGUAGCUAAUACCGCGUAGUAUCGGAAGAUGAAAGUGCGGGACCGUAAGGGCCGCAUGCCAUGGGAUGAGCCCAAGUGGGAUUAGGUAGUUGGUGGGGUAAAGGCCUACCAAGCCUGCGAUCUCUAGCUGGUCUGAGAGGAUGGCCAGCCACACUGGAACUGAGACACGGUCCAG
This 234-nucleotide ribosomal RNA is filed under the name uncultured bacterium. RNAcentral describes it as "partial 16S ribosomal RNA". It matches the Rfam family "Bacterial small subunit ribosomal RNA", at positions 100 to 334 of the family's 1533-position model. The record is from RNAcentral.